GUGUGCUGCCGAGAGGCGUGGUCGGGUUUGGCAGGUCGGCCGGCCAGACCGCCGACCACCUGGACCACCCCCCGGCUCUUCUCGGUCCUGGGCUGGGGCUGGCCUGUAGCCCCUAGCCCUCGCCUGUCCCUCCACUUCCCACCCCCGGCUGCAGUCUUCUGCUGCUUCCAACUCCCCACCCUUAACUGCCUGCCCCGGUAUCUGUCCCCCCCCCCCCCCCCCGCCGCCGCCCUCCGCCCUGCUCUGCCCCUCCAAGGGCCGUGUCUCUGAGCCCCGACCCCAUGGCGCUUCAGGCGCUGCAGAGCUCGGGGGUGGCCUUCCGCAAGAUCCUGUCUCACUUCCCCGAGGAGCUGAGCCUGGCUUUCGCCUACGGCUCCGGGGUGUACCGCCAGGUGGGGCCCAGUUCAGACCAGAAGGUGAGCCUGGCCCCGGGGCAGGCCCCACGUCGGGACUCGGCCUCAUCGCACGAGAAUGCCAUGCUGGACUUUGUUUUCACAGUAGAUGACCCUGUUGCAUGGCAUUCAAAGAACCUGAAAAAAAAUUGGAAUCAUUACUCUUUCCUAAAAGUUUUGGGGCCCAAGAUUAUCACCACUGUACAGAAUAACUAUGGCGCUGGAGUCUACUAUAAUCCACUGAUCAUGUGUGAUGGUAGGCUUAUCAAAUAUGGGGUCAUUAGCACUAGUAUUUUGAUUGAAGAUCUCCUCAACUGGAAUAAUUUAUACAUUGCUGGACGACUCCAGAAACCGGUGAAAAUCAUAGCAAUGAAUGAGAAUGUUGCUCUUAGGUCAGCCCUUGAUAAAAAUCUGAAGAGUGCUGUGACCACGGCUUUCCUCAUGCUACCCGAAAGCUUUUCUGAAGAAGACCUCUUUAUAGAGAUUGCUGGACUGUCUUAUUCAGGCGACUUUCGGAUGGUGGUUGGAGAGGAUAAGACAAAAGUGUUGAAUAUUGUGAAGCCCAACAUAGCCCACUUUCGUGAGCUCUAUGGCAGCAUACUGCAGGAGAAUCCCCAAGUGGUGUAUAAAAUCCAGCAAGGCAGACUGGAGAUAGAUAAAAGCCCAGAAGGACAAUUCACUCAGCUAAUGACAUUGCCCAAAACCUUACAGCAACAAAUAAAUCAUGUUAUGGACCCUCCUGGAAAAAACAGAGAUGUGGAAGAAACUUUAUUACAAGUUGCUCAUGAUCCAGACUGUGGAGAGGUGGUGCGACGAGGGCUUUCAGCAAUUGUGAGACCUUCUAGUAUGAAACAGAGCACCAAAGGCAUUUUCACUGCCGAAGUCCUUUUGUUGUGGUCAUGGCUGUUGUUCUGCUUGCUGCACUAAGACAAAAUCCACCAAGUCCUACCUGUGUUCAGUUUUUCAGCUAGCUGGUGCAUCAUGUGCAGGCAUGAAGAAAACAGUGGUUUAUAGUUCACUAAAACUACACAAAAUGUGGAAAGGAUGGCUGAGGAAAACAUCCUGAUUUUGCUUGCUUUUAUAUGUUAUGUGUAGUUGAAUAAAGUGAUCCUUUUUGACAGAA
RNA transcript from Herpailurus yagouaroundi (jaguarundi), 1515 nucleotides. It is a transcript of the gene named TAM41 mitochondrial translocator assembly and maintenance homolog, with no coding region annotated. The record is from RefSeq and is a predicted model, not a curated record. The transcript has 9 exons. NCBI's taxonomy places the organism in Eukaryota, Metazoa, Chordata, Mammalia, Carnivora, Felidae.